Molecule: ribosomal RNA, 253 nt
Filed under: uncultured bacterium
Lineage: Bacteria
Description: partial 16S ribosomal RNA
Rfam family: Bacterial small subunit ribosomal RNA
Source: RNAcentral
UACGGAGGGUGCGAGCGUUGUCCGGAAUCACUGGGCGUAAAGGGCGCGUAGGCGGCCUGAUAAGUAGGGGGUGAAAUCCUGUGGCUUAACCGCAGGGCUGCCUUCUAAACUGUCAGGCUCGAGCACAGUAGAGGCAGGUGGAAUUCCCGGUGUAGCGGUGGAAUGCGUAGAGAUCGGGAAGAACAUCAGUGGCGAAGGCGGCCUGCUGGGCUGUUGCUGACGCUGAGGCGCGACAGCGUGGGGAGCAAACAGG